CCUACGGGAGGCAGCAGUAGGGAAUCUUCCACAAUGGACGAAAGUCUGAUGGAGCAACGCCGCGUGAGUGAUGAAGGUUUUCGGAUCAUAAAACUCUGUUGUAAGGGAAGAACAAGUACGAGAGGGAAUGCUCGUACCUUGACGGUACCUUGCGAGAAAGCCACGGCUAACUACGUGCCAGCAGCCGCGGUAAUACGUAGGUGGCAAGCGUUGUCCGGAAUUAUUGGGCGUAAAGCGCGCGCAGGCGGCCUUUUAAGUCUGAUGUGAAAGCCCCCGGCUCAACCGGGGAGGGUCAUUGGAAACUGGAAGGCUUGAGUACAGAAGAGAAGAGUGGAAUUCCAUGUGUAGCGGUGAAAUGCGUAGAGAUGUGGAGGAACACCAGUGGCGAAGGCGACUCUUUGGUCUGUAACUGACGCUGAGGCGCGAAAGCGUGGGGAGCAAACAGGAUUAGAUACCCUGGUAGUCCACGCCGUAAACGANAGAGUGNUAGUGGUUGGGGUUUCCGGUCCCGUCCNGUGCUGAGACGUACG
This 530-nucleotide ribosomal RNA is filed under the name uncultured bacterium. RNAcentral's name for it is "bacterial SSU rRNA". It matches the Rfam family "Bacterial small subunit ribosomal RNA", at positions 338 to 857 of the family's 1533-position model. The record is from RNAcentral.